AGCAACCUAAUAUAAUAUAAAUUGAGUUAGGUGGUUUAAUUGAUUUAACUCAUGCCUAUACAUUUCUGAGUAAUGGGACUGGAUCAGAAGUAGAGUCAAGAAAUAGGAAUUACAACACUGGCACUUUCCAAAACCCAAGUUUAUGUACUUCUUCCAUCUCUAUAAGUUUAAGCAUACAUAAUCAAUAAGAAAACUUUCUUCUACAAGUCCUAUAACACGAAAAAAUGGACUACAAUCAGUAACAUUACCCUUGGAUCAGUGCAUGGAGUAUAAUCUUGAAAGUCAAUACUGCAUUCUGGAAAACUAAUGUAUUUAAUUUGCAGAGGACUUAUUGAUAACUCCUCGGGGGACCCAAUGGAUAUCUGGCCAUAUAUUGACAAAAAUCUGUCCUUCUCAGAACAAAAGAUUAUACCCGUAUAGAAAGAAAAUCCACAUAGCACCAC
This is a non-coding RNA of Vigna umbellata (rice bean), 443 nucleotides long. The record is from RefSeq and is a predicted model, not a curated record. Lineage: Eukaryota; Viridiplantae; Streptophyta; Magnoliopsida; Fabales; Fabaceae.